UGAGCAAUCUGCCCUUCUCAUCGGAAUAAGCGUUGGAACGACGUCUAAUGCCGAAUACGACCUCCUUUCACAUGAUCGGAGGUGGAAAGCUCCGGCGGAGAAGGAUGAGCUCGCGGCCUGUCAGCUAGUUGGUGUGGGUAAUGGCCCACCAAGGCGACGACGGGNNGCGCNGNGNGGNGACGACCACACGUACGGACGU
RNAcentral lists this ribosomal RNA (199 nucleotides) under uncultured bacterium. RNAcentral's name for it is "partial 16S ribosomal RNA". It matches the Rfam family "Bacterial small subunit ribosomal RNA", at positions 118 to 311 of the family's 1533-position model. The record is from RNAcentral.